Molecule: ribosomal RNA, 547 nt
Filed under: bacterium enrichment culture clone Cont195_3130
Lineage: Bacteria
Description: bacterial SSU rRNA
Rfam family: Bacterial small subunit ribosomal RNA
Source: RNAcentral
AGAGUUUGAUCCUGGCUCAGAACGAACGCUGGCGGCGGGCCUAACACAUGCAAGUCGCACGAGAAAAGCCCUGGCUUGCCAGGGCGAGUAAAGUGGCGCACGGGUGAGUAACGCGUGGUUAAUCCACCCUUGGGUCUGGGAUAACGCGCCGAAAGGUGCGCUAAUACCGGAUAAGACCACGGCGUCUGCGGACGCUGGGGUCAAAGAGGGCCUCUACAUGUAAGCUCUUGCCCAUAGACGAGACCGCGUCCCAUUAGCUUGUYGGUGAGGUAACGGCUCACCAAGGCCGCGAUGGGUAGCUGAUCUGAGAGGAUGAUCAGCCACACUGGGACUGGAACACGGCCCAGACUCCUACGGGAGGCAGCAGUGAGGAAUCUUGCGCAAUGGGGGAAACCCUGACGCAGCCACGCCGCGUGGGUGAAGAAGGCCUUCGGGUCGUAAAGCCCUGUCAGGUGGGAAGAACCCGCAAGUGGACGAAUAAUCCGCUUGCCUGACGGUACCACCAAAGGAAGCACCGGCUAACUCCGUGCCAGCAGCCGCGGUAAUA